This is a long non-coding RNA of Helianthus annuus (common sunflower), 1979 nucleotides long. RefSeq lists it as uncharacterized. The record is from RefSeq and is a predicted model, not a curated record. The transcript has 3 exons. Lineage: Eukaryota; Viridiplantae; Streptophyta; Magnoliopsida; Asterales; Asteraceae.
AAAUUAACCGCUAGACCAUCAUCAAUCGAUAAUCUCCAACCUCUCAUCUGCAAUCAUCGUAAGUUAUAAGCCCUUCCUUGCUGGAUGAGUAUGAUUUUGUUUAAUUUCAAUCUUGUUUGAUCCUUGCUUAAUCUCUUAAUGUUCUAUAGGAUGGUUAUACUACUUGUUGCAGGGCAAAGUCUAAAACUUUUCUUUUUUACUCUAUUGAGUGAAGGUGUGGAUUUCUCAAUUGAAUUAUUUAACUUUUAGUUGAGUUUUAAUUCUUUUUAAUCUAAUUAGUUUUAUUUUUUUGAAGUAAACCCUUCAGCAUGCUAAUAAAAACCAAAUAUCAUCACAAAAGGUAGCAGCAAAAUGAUGAUGAUUGUUCUUCUAUUUUUCCUGAUUUAUAUUUAAAGAUGGUUAAAGCGUUAUAAUCAAUUUCACCUCUACUUGUCUCUUUGUUACACGCAACACAUAACUUUCAUAUUAUGUUUUUUAGAAACCAAGUUUAAAAAUGUCGGAGAAGAAAAAGAGGGGAGUUUCUAAAUGCAAAAAGAACCUUUCAAAUCCGGAUCAAUCUAAAGUUGAUUUUAAUGAGGAGGGUACAGCGAUCGGUAAGAAUGCAGGGAGCUUUAUGUCUUGGAUUGGUGUCGAAUGUAAAAGAAAGAUCUCGUACAAUAAACGUGCUAGAAAAGUAAACCCUAAAAUAUACGAAGAUAUCUGGGAAUACGCUAAGGUAUUUAUAUGUAGCUGGGAAACAGGAGGGUUUAAAUAAUACUACGUAUUUUCAUCCCCGUUAUAUUGAAGGUGAACUUGUCUCAGAUGGUGACUUUGUGAUUGACCACACCAAAAAGGUUAUCUCUUUUCAUAAGGACAAACAAUGGUUUAUUGCACCAUACAUAGCCGGGAAACACUGGGUAUUAAUUAUACUUCAACAUCAUCCGGUAUAUAAAACUUGGAAGGGUUACAUAUUUGAUUCACAUAAAGGUAAAGAUGAUGAUUUUUCAUGUUACGAGAUUAUAACAUUAUUCAAACAGGCCAUAGAACAAAAUAUGACGUGGGCUAAGGUUAAAGUAAGUUCUGAUUCAUUUUCUAUAACUUGUUUAUUUUUAGAUUUUAGUUAACUAAUUGUAAGUUCAAUUAACUAUUUAGUGUUGUCUACAACCUAAUGGAUGGGAGUGCAGUUAUUGUGUUAUGUUGGCUAUGUAUGAUUUUGUGAUUUGUAACAGAGAACAUAUGGUAAGUAUAUUGUGUACAUUCCUAUUUAUAUACCUUUAACAACAAUGAGUAUUAAACUAUAACCUAACUUCUAUCUAUCUUUAUGUUUUAAUUGGUAAAUAAAACUACAAUGGUUCGUCAAGGUGAAAUAAAUUUGUAGAGCGUACUUUAAAGGUGUUUAUAUCAUAUUUUGAGGAUGAGAAUGAUCAAUGAAGGUAAGUGUAUUAGUAUGGAAUCUAUUCAUGGUAUUUUUUUUUUAAAGUUUUUCUACAUUUUUAUAAAUAUUUGAUUAGGACACUUGAGUGAGCCCCUAAAUAUAGUCUUUUGAUUUAUUAUAUUGAGAAUUAAUUGCAAAGAUGGUUAAGUCACUUUGACUCGUUCGUCUAUUUGACCCAAGGGCCUAGGCACACAUAUAUUAUUACGGUUUCUUAGGAGCAACACAUGACUUUGUAUUAAUGUUGACUGUAGUUGGCAUGACUUAUGCAUUAAAAUUUUCUAGAUUUUGGGAUUGUGCUUUAUUUUAAUCCUAAAUGUUAGCUGAUAGACAUUUUGUGUGUUUUGAUCAGUGGCAAAGGAAUUCUAGUUAGCUGGUGUUACUUAGAGCUUGUGGUGGAUGAAGGAAGUUGCACAAAGUCAAAGGUUUUUGCAGUGUUUUUUGCAUGGGUGUAAAACUGAAUGAAUUGAUGUUUUUUUUAUGUUUUUUCUUUGUUAAAUUGAAUGCUUUAGACUAAUGGGUCAAGAUGGAUUCUUUAGCUAUUUAUAAAACGGUUCAUUGUUUGGUA